AACGAACGCUGGCGGCAUGCCUAACACAUGCAAGUCGAACGAUACCUUCGGGUCUAGUGGCGCACGGGUGCGUAACGCGUGGGAACCUGCCCUUAGGUUCGGAAUAACUCCCCGAAAGGGGUGCUAAUACCGUAUAAUGUCUUCGGACCAAAGAUUUAUCGCCUUUGGAUGGGCCCGCGUUGGAUUAGCUAGUUGGUAGGGUAAAAGCCUACCAAGGCGACGAUCCAUAGCUGGUCUGAGAGGAUGAUCAGCCACACUGGGACUGAGACACGGCCCAGACUACUACGGGAGGAAGCAGUGGGGAAUAUUGGACAAUGGGCGAAAGCCUGAUCCAGCCAUGCCGCGUGAGUGAUGAAGGCCUUAGGGUUGUAAAGCUCUUUUACCCGGGAUGAUAAUGACAGUACCGGGAGAAUAAGCUCCGGCUAACUACGUG
Molecule: ribosomal RNA, 433 nt
Filed under: uncultured bacterium
Lineage: Bacteria
Description: partial 16S ribosomal RNA
Rfam family: Bacterial small subunit ribosomal RNA
Source: RNAcentral